UACGAAGGGGGCUAGCGUUACUCGGAUUGACUGGGCGUAAAGGGCGCGUAGGCGGAUGGUACAGUCAGACGUGAAAUUCCUGGGCUCAACCUGGGGGCUGCGUUUGAUACGUGCGGACUUGAGUGCGGAAGAGGGUCGUGGAAUUCCCAAUGUAGAGGUGAAAUUCGUAGAUAUUGGGAAGAACACCGGUGGCGAAGGCGGCGACCUGGUCCGAUACUGACGCUGAGGCGCGAAAGCGUGGGGAGCAAACAGG
Molecule: ribosomal RNA, 253 nt
Filed under: uncultured bacterium
Lineage: Bacteria
Description: partial 16S ribosomal RNA
Rfam family: Bacterial small subunit ribosomal RNA
Source: RNAcentral